Molecule: transfer RNA, 63 nt
Filed under: Hesperus amabilis
Lineage: Eukaryota; Metazoa; Arthropoda; Insecta; Coleoptera; Staphylinidae
Description: tRNA-His
Source: RNAcentral
AUUUAAAUAGUUUAAAAAAAUAUUGGUUUGUGGGACCAAAGUUAUGCUAUUGCAUUUUAGAUA